UACAGAGGUCUCAAGCGUUGUUCGGAUUCAUUGGGCGUAAAGAGCUCGUAGGCGGUUCGGCAAGUCGGAUGUGAAAUCUCCACGCUCAACGUGGAGGGGCCAUUCGAAACUGCCGUGACUCGAGUCCGGUAGGGGAGUGUGGAAUUCCCGGUGUAGCGGUGAAAUGCGCAGAUAUCGGGAGGAACACCAGUAGCGAAGGCGGCACUCUGGGCCGGUACUGACGCUGAGGAGCGAAAGCGUGGGGAGCGAACAGG
RNAcentral lists this ribosomal RNA (254 nucleotides) under uncultured bacterium. RNAcentral's name for it is "partial 16S ribosomal RNA". It matches the Rfam family "Bacterial small subunit ribosomal RNA", at positions 524 to 776 of the family's 1533-position model. The record is from RNAcentral.